CUCGUAACGAACUCAAUGGGGGCGACGGGUUCUUUCCCGUCGUCCCUCGACGCUUGGAUAGAACGGGCGCCUAGAGCGCUCGGUCUUUCUCGGCGGCACAACGAACCCCGGCGCGGAAUGCGCCAAGGAACUUGAACAAGAGAGCGAUGCUCCCAUCACCCCAGACAUGGUGCGUGCGUGGGAUGCCAUGCAAUCUCCUAUUACUCA
Molecule: unclassified non-coding RNA, 207 nt
Filed under: Myrtus communis var. communis
Lineage: Eukaryota; Viridiplantae; Streptophyta; Magnoliopsida; Myrtales; Myrtaceae
Description: sequence contains ITS1
Source: RNAcentral